This is a non-coding RNA of Pelobates cultripes (western spadefoot toad), 220 nucleotides long. NCBI's taxonomy places the organism in Eukaryota, Metazoa, Chordata, Amphibia, Anura, Pelobatidae. The record is from the annotation of a GenBank genome assembly.
UCAUCUGUUUUGCCAACAGAGGGUAAAAAGUCCCCAUCACGACCCCAUUUUUAUUCCUCAUUUCAGCAAGGCUCCAAACAGUAUGUUCAGUAGAAUUUAGUCUUUCUUGACCCAGACAACUGGGUGAAAAAGGAUAACUUAGUGAAAUUACGCAACUGUAGUCUGCUCUUACCUUUCCAAGUCUACAACAAUUAAACAUGCAAUCUGUCUCAGCAAAUCA